RNA transcript from Frankliniella occidentalis (western flower thrips), 1819 nucleotides. It is a transcript of the gene named serine/arginine-rich splicing factor 4-like, with no coding region annotated. The transcript has 8 exons. NCBI's taxonomy places the organism in Eukaryota, Metazoa, Arthropoda, Insecta, Thysanoptera, Thripidae. The record is from RefSeq and is a predicted model, not a curated record.
AACAAAAUCAAAAAGAAAACAAACGACAAACAAACGAGUGCACCGGUCUGCUCCCCUACCUUAACCUAACUUUGUGACGGAAAAAUAUGUUUUUCGAACCGAAAGGCUAGCUAGAAUUCAGUUUUACCUUUACAUAGGGUUUGUUGUAGUACACUUUUUGUUUAAAGAAGAAACGCGUGUCGAAUCACGAUAUCCUCAGUGUUUUGUUUAGUGGCUGGGGGGGGCAUUACGGUUUAUAUCCAUUUUAGUUUCCAUGGUCAAGAGGUCUUGAAAAUGAGUAAAUAUUCUACCGAAUCGGAUUCAAGUGAUGGACACAGCAGAAAAAAGGGAAAGUCAAGUAGGAGGGGAAGAUCUCCAAGCUCAUCUAGUUCAGAGUCAGGCAGCCGACACCGUAGAAGAACGCACAAAUCUGGUCACAGUAGAAGAAGAUCUCACAGUUCUGAUGUGAGCCAUAAAUCAAGUCGAAGAGAUAGGGAUAGGUCUUCAGAUCGCUCUCAUGAAAAGUCAAAGAGCCGCUAUUCACGUAGAUCAAGAUCAUCAUCAAGGAGUCGCAGAAGAAGAUCUCGUUCAAGAUCGCAAUCUAAAAGUCAUUCUAGAAGGAGGUCAUCAUCUCACAGUCCAUCUCGAUCUUACAAGAAAACACACUCUAGAAGGUCUCGCUCACGUUCAAAGGGUCACUCUAGGAGAAGAUCAUCAUCCGGUUCAAGCGCUGAGUCUAAAGAACAGACUCUGAAAGGACGUCAGCCAGAUGUAGUUAAUCUUCCUGUUCGAUCACAAGGUUCACCAUCUUCACGUUCCCAACCUACUCAGGAAGCACCCUCAGCCUCCCAAUCAGCACCUGAAGAAGCUCUUACAGAGAGACUACAAAAGGCAAUUUGGGCUGCUAAAACUGCAGACCAGCAGCUUCGUAACCAGGGACUUAUUGGCGCCAGGAAAGAGGUUGAUCCAACUUUUAUGGUUCUUGAAGCUAUAAAUAGAAGUAACUUAUUAGAUGAAAUAAACUCUGAUGGUUUUUCCCCUCGCCAAUUUACGUCUGGUGCAAAACGAGAUGAGUAUCCUAUAGUUGUCGAUCUUGCAAGUCAACCAGCGGUGCCCCCUCCAGCUCAAGUGAAGCAGGAUCCUAAAGCCAUUUUUCACUCAAGUGUAUGUGUUUUGAAAGCUUUUAGUGGAUGAACCUCAACGCCUUGAACGAUGGAUAAAAAAGCUUUAUAGCAUCCGUCAAAGAGCAAUUAAUGGAGAGCCUUUCACCUUCUCAUGAUGACAACCAACUACAUGCUGUCUUAUUGAAAAUAAGAAUUGAGAACGAGCCAAAAACAACGGGUUCUUCGGCAUUCCGCUUGAAAACUAGAAAGAAAUAGACAACUGCUUAAGGAUACUUUGGAAAUGAAGGCAAGAAACUUAACUAAGCAAUCAUCACUUACUUGCUCCAAGGUUUGCCCUCACAAGUGAAUAGAUUUUCAUUCCUGAACAUUCUCGAGCAAUGUUUUCACCAACAGUGCUCAUGUCAGUCAGUGGUGGGAAUGCUACGCGCAUUGUCUUUACAAUAACUUUAACAUCUGAUCCACGGCUAGCCAUUUUGCGAGCUAGGUCAAUGACAAAACUUGGCAAAAAGACAACAGCAUCACGAUCGAGUGGAAUCACAAAGCAUCGUCGACCAUCCACAUCAACAAUGCCUGUUUUGUUCUGCAAAUAUUAAUAUGUAUAAAAGCUUAACAUCUCAAUCUUACUAUCAGAUAAAAAGUGAUAGAUGUGAUUGAUUGGACUUGAAACUUACAAUAUGCCAGUCAUGAAUAAAUUGACCAGGACGUCCACCAUUAAA